Heteronotia binoei (common prickly gecko) is the source of this 629-nucleotide long non-coding RNA. RefSeq lists it as uncharacterized. The transcript is spliced from 3 exons. The record is from RefSeq and is a predicted model, not a curated record. NCBI's taxonomy places the organism in Eukaryota, Metazoa, Chordata, Lepidosauria, Squamata, Gekkonidae.
CACCCCAACAAUCGUUCAGGUCUCAAAAGUGAGGAAAACCAAAGUUGAUGGGAAGGCCUAGAAUUCAGUGAUCAUACUUAAAGCUCUUGCUGAAAAACAAGAUAAGCAACCAUUGUCUAAUCAAAUGAGCAGAGGACUACAUCCAGCAAACCCAAGUAUACACAUAAAAAUCAUCAAGAGCAGAGAUGGAAGCAGCAGUGGCAGAACCUGAGGUGGAAUCCCAAGAGCUGUCUGCUGGAAAAGAAGAAAUAAAAACACCCACAGGAAUAGCAUUACCAGAGACAAAAGAAGUAAGAGGGCCAGAAACCUCAUCUGGAACCAGUUUUAAAGCACCAGAGUGUGCUGGCAUAUCAGCAAUGAAAGCCACACAAGACACACAGUCUGAAAGAACAGCCAGAGCAGCAGAGAAGGUGGCAAAAGCACAGAUGACAAUGAUUCUGAAGUCAGCAAGAGCAGAGCUGAAGCACAGAAGAACUGCAAAUCUGAAACAAAAGAAUCCUGACUGAUGUGCCUUGGAAAAAAAGGGAAUGAAUGAAACUGAAAAGAAAUGAAGGAAGAAUGUAACCACCACCAAACACUAAUGACAAUAAAUGUGCUUGCCAGGGUGAUUGCAAAUUACACUUGGUAAA